RNAcentral lists this unclassified non-coding RNA (390 nucleotides) under soil metagenome. RNAcentral describes it as "partial contains 5.8S ribosomal RNA, internal transcribed spacer 2, and large subunit ribosomal RNA". The stretch from base 1 to 120 matches the Rfam family "5.8S ribosomal RNA", at positions 35 to 154 of the family's 154-position model. The record is from RNAcentral.
GAUGAAGAACGUAGCGAAGUGCGAUAAGUAAUGUGAAUUGCAGAAUUCCGUGAAUCAUCGAAUCUUUGAACGCAAAUUGCGCUUCCUGGCAUCCCGGGAAGUAUGCCUGUUUGAGGGUCAGUGUUAAUAAAAAUCGGUUCGUUGCGAAUUUUUUGUGACGUUCCGGAGUUUGGGUUAUCUUAACUUUUUUGGUUAAGAGGCUUAAAAUUGACCUUUUUUUUGCGCAUUUUUUAGACGUACAUAAAUUUUUUUUUUAUUCGUCUAUUCUUAAUGCCAAAAUAUAUUAGAUGCGACCAUAUCGUGUGGUUCCGUGUCUAUAAAUUUUUCAUGAUUUGACCUCAAAUCAGGUAGGAGUACCCGCUGAACUUAAGCAUAUCAAUAAGCGGAGGA